CGGAGCUUGCUCCACCGGAAAAAGAAGAGUGGCGAACGGGUGAGUAACACGUGGGUAACCUGCCCAUCAGAAGGGGAUAACACUUGGAAACAGGUGCUAAUACCGUAUAACAAUCGAAACCGCAUGGUUUUGAUUUGAAAGGCGCUUUCGGGUGUCGCUGAUGGAUGGACCCGCGGUGCAUUAGCUAGUUGGUGAGGUAACGGCUCACCAAGGCCACGAUGCAUAGCCGACCUGAGAGGGUGAUCGGCCACAUUGGGACUGAGACACGGCCCAAACUCCUACGGGAGGCAGCAGUAGGGAAUCUUCGGCAAUGGACGAAAGUCUGACCGAGCAACGCCGCGUGAGUGAAGAAGGUUUUCGGAUCGUAAAACUCUGUUGUUAGAGAAGAACAAGGAUGAGAGUAACUGUUCAUCCCUUGACGGUAUCUAACCAGAAAGCCACGGCUAACUACGUGCCAGCAGCCGCGGUAAUACGUAGGUGGCAAGCGUUGUCCGGAUUUAUUGGGCGUAAAGCGAGCGCAGGCGGUUUCUUAAGUCUGAUGUGAAAGCCCCCGGCUCAACCGGGGAGGGUCAUUGGAAACUGGGAGACUUGAGUGCAGAAGAGGAGAGUGGAAUUCCAUGUGUAGCGGUGAAAUGCGUAGAUAUAUGGAGGAACACCAGUGGCGAAGGCGGCUCUCUGGUCUGUAACUGACGCUGAGGCUCGAAAGCGUGGGGAGCAAACAGGAUUAGAUACCCUGGUAGUCCACGCCGUAAACGAUGAGUGCUAAGUGUUGGAGGGUUUCCGCCCUUCAGUGCUGCAGCUAACGCAUUAAGCACUCCGCCUGGGGAGUACGACCGCAAGGUUGAAACUCAAAGGAAUUGACGGGGGCCCGCACAAGCGGUGGAGCAUGUGGUUUAAUUCGAAGCAACGCGAAGAACCUUACCAGGUCUUGACAUCCUUUGACCACUCUAGAGAUAGAGCUUCCCCUUCGGGGGCAAAGUGACAGGUGGUGCAUGGUUGUCGUCAGCUCGUGUCGUGAGAUGUUGGGUUAAGUCCCGCAACGAGCGCAACCCUUAUUGUUAGUUGCCAUCAUUUAGUUGGGCACUCUAGCAAGACUGCCGGUGACAAACCGGAGGAAGGUGGGGAUGACGUCAAAUCAUCAUGCCCCUUAUGACCUGGGCUACACACGUGCUACAAUGGGAAGUACAACGAGUCGCGAAGUCGCGAGGCUAAGCUAAUCUCUUAAAGCUUCUCUCAGUUCGGAUUGUAGGCUGCAACUCGCCUACAUGAAGCCGGAAUCGCUAGUAAUCGCGGAUCAGCACGCCGCGGUGAAUACGUUCCCGGGCCUUGUACACACCGCCCGUCACACCACGAGAGUUUGUAACACCCGAAGUCGGUGAGGUAACCUUUGAGCC
This 1394-nucleotide ribosomal RNA is filed under the name Enterococcus durans. RNAcentral's name for it is "bacterial SSU rRNA". It matches the Rfam family "Bacterial small subunit ribosomal RNA", at positions 74 to 1450 of the family's 1533-position model. The record is from RNAcentral. Lineage: Bacteria; Bacillati; Bacillota; Bacilli; Lactobacillales; Enterococcaceae.